UUUGGUGGCGAUAGCGGAGGGUUCCAUAAGUACCCACCCCGAACACGAUCGUUAAGCCCUCCAGCGCCGAUGAUACCUGGACCGUAGGGACCUGGGAGAGUAGGACGUUGCCAAGC
Molecule: ribosomal RNA, 116 nt
Filed under: Paenibacillus polymyxa
Lineage: Bacteria; Bacillati; Bacillota; Bacilli; Caryophanales; Paenibacillaceae
Source: RNAcentral